Molecule: long non-coding RNA, 2701 nt
Filed under: Canis lupus familiaris (dog)
Lineage: Eukaryota; Metazoa; Chordata; Mammalia; Carnivora; Canidae
Description: lncRNA (ENSCAFG00000050266.1)
Source: RNAcentral
UUUUUUUUUUUUUUUUAAGAUUCUAUUUGUCUAUCUAUCUAUCUAUCUAUCUAUCUAUCUAUCUUGGAGAAUGAGAGCAUGUGUGUGAGUGAGGGGAGGGGCAGAGGGAGAGGGAAUCACAAGCAGAUUCACACAGUGUAGAGUCCAACUUGGGGCUCAAUCUCAGGAUCCUGAGACCAUGACCUGAGCCAAAAUCAAGAGUUGGAUCCUCAACCAACUGAGCCACCCAGGCACCCCUGCAUGUGUAUGAAUUCUUCACAGGACCCCAUCAAGAUUUGGCCUGAGACUCAGGGGCUCAGCGAGCCAUUCCUGCCAGCCCUCUCCAUCAUAGAAACCAGCUCCAAGAUAGAGUGCUGCAUGCAGAAGGAUUUUAAGAACUACUCCCUGGAGAUAACUAAUAGGGAGGUAAGGAAGGCUGAGAUGGGCAAAGAAAGAAGCAAACCCACAAUAAGAUGGUACCUGAAGUCUUUAUGGAUCUAAUAAGGAGCUCCAAGCUGCUGGCUCUCUAGGGUUGUCCUGAACCAAGGCAAGAAGCUGAGUCAUGUGCCAUGAGCUGCCCCACCCUGACAGCAGCUUAGCCUUGAACAAGGAAGUGACUGAGAGCAAUAAUCCAGAUAUGUAGCUGUGAACUAUCAGCAAACAACCCUCCUACAGUUGAGAAAAUGGGUGGUUAGACCCUGAAAAGGGAUCUGCGCUGAGCAUGAGAGAAUCUACCACACGAUCUGGACCAGCAGUUCUCAAAUAGGGUCCCAGGUGAUGCUGCACCAGAGGCAUUGUGGCAUUGUCUGGGAACCCAUUAGAAAUGCAAAUCCUCAGGCUCCACCCCAGACUUCUUGAAUCAGGAAUACUGUGGGUGCUGCUGGCAACCUGGGUUUGAACAAGCCAUCCAGGAAUGCUGAUGCAUGCCUUAGUCUGAGAACCACUGAUCUAAAGCAUGCCUAUUAUACUUUAUAUUACUGCCUUAGAUUUCAUUUGGCCCUCUAAGGUUUUAUUUGGAAAUUAUUCUGGGGGGUACCUGACACAUAGUAAAUUCUGCAAGAGUGUGUGUGUAAUAAAUGCUUUGCAUUCCUUCCACAGCAGGCCUUGUCUGAUGAUGCCCCGGAGCCCAGCACAGUGCCUGGCCCAAUGUGAGUACAUAAAUGGAUUCAAAGUCUCCAUCUUUCCCCCUACAUCUCCCUCACUGACUCUAUCCUCUCAUUCCCUAAAUGUCUUUAUAUAGAGAUUGGCUUCUCAGUCUUCACCUUUCCAAGUAGAUGACUAAUUCUCUAACCCCCACAUGCAACUGAGCCAUUGCCCUUCAUCCCUGACUCUGUUCCUGUGACAGGACAUGAGGGUACAGAUUUGGUAAGCAAAGCUGAGGCCAGCCUCAGUCAGCCGGCACUCCUAGAUCUGUGGGCAAGUUGUGCCACACCCAAGUGCACUGCAUGUUCUGACAUGAACACUGACUCACGGACAGUUCUUUUCCUUACCCCUAAAUGGUGGUGGACAUUUUGGCUUCCACAACACACUGGCUCUGGGUUAUCGCUGUGGAUAAAACAGCUAUCUACAUGACAGGCUCUUGGGAUCAGAAUUCCAUGAGGUGAAUUCUGCCCAGGAAACUGUGUUGGGGUACCAUGUAUUUUCAGUCCAGAAUAUUUUAGAUGAAUCUAUAAAUGAUCUGGGAGACCAGCUCUAGUAUCAUUUCAUAGGAAACAACACUACUCUUAGAUGUUAAAUUUUUAAAAAAAAAAAUUUUUUUGGGGGGGGUUGUUAUUCUUGUGUCUAAGCCAAAUUCCUCAUCUAGCUAAAAUAUUAAAAUACCAAGUAAAUAUUAAAAAAUAAAAAUACUUUAGGGUGGACACAUCUCCAAAACUUGUUGGAGGUCUACAUGGUACACGCCCAAGGGUUCCUCACUAUGUCUCUGCAUAUUUAGUCCCCUAACCCCACCCAGGCCAUGAUCAGGUCUUAGUCAGAAGAGAUACUGGGACAGAAAACACAUUGCCUCUUUUUCAGAAGUUGGGUUUGCUUCAGCUGUGGCCGCUCUGCCCUUUGGAACACACAGCCCAGUCUGUCGGAAUGUGAAGUGAGGCAUGGUGCUCCGAGAACAGGAGUUCCAUUACUGAGCUUUACAGAAAUGAGAAGAGGCUGUGCAUGUGACAAUCCUGGUGUAUGCUAAAUAUUAAGGUAUCAAAUACACUUAUCAUUUGGAGUAACAGCCCAGAUAACAACCUUCAAGAGUAGAGCAAAUGGGACAGCGACAAGGAAGUGACAGAAGUCACUUCUGUGAUCCAUGGGACUUCUUACCAGGUGGCCCCAAAGAUACAUUCCAAUUCCAAGAUUCGUUUCUGAAGAGCUUUGAAAACAAAUAAAGCAGCCAAUACUAUGCAAAAGGGGAUUUUACUAAACUGACGAUAAGACUGAUUGUCAUAGAAACAGACAAAACUGAUGAAAUCAGCUUUCUAGGAGAGGGGACGGAUGGGAUAGCUAGUUGACAAUUUAUUCUUGGAAUAAAUUUUUAAUAGCAGUGAUUCACACCUACUGAAAAAGCCAUUCUCACUGGAACCCGUGUGGGCCCAUCUCUAAUUCAGAUAUUCUCUCAAAUCUACCAGGUAAUGCCAGCUGAACAGUUGAUUUUAUAUUUUUAAACAAGUUUGCAUGUCGACAAGUUAGAGGAAUAAACCAAGCUGAGUACACUUAACCUACCAGAAAGCGCCCAUUACUC